Molecule: ribosomal RNA, 483 nt
Filed under: uncultured bacterium
Lineage: Bacteria
Description: partial 16S ribosomal RNA
Rfam family: Bacterial small subunit ribosomal RNA
Source: RNAcentral
UUGAACGCUGGCGGCAGGCCUAACACAUGCAAGUCGAGCGGAUGAAGGGAGCUUGCUCCUGGAUUCGGCGGCGGACGGGUGAGUAAUGCCUAGGAAUCUGCCUGGUAGUGGGGGAUAACGUCCGGAAACGGGCGCUAAUACCGCAUACGUCCUGAGGGAGAAAGUGGGGGAUCUUCGGACCUCACGCUAUCAGAUGAGCCUAGGUCGGAUUAGCUAGUUGGUGGGGUAAAGGCCUACCAAGGCGACGAUCCGUAACUGGUCUGAGAGGAUGAUCAGUCACACUGGAACUGAGACACGGUCCAGACUCCUACGGGAGGCAGCAGUGGGGAAUAUUGGACAAUGGGCGAAAGCCUGAUCCAGCCAUGCCGCGUGUGUGAAGAAGGUCUUCGGAUUGUAAAGCACUUUAAGUUGGGAGGAAGGGCAGUAAGUUAAUACCUUGCUGUUUUGACGUUACCAACAGAAUAAGCACCGGCUAACUUCGUG